This 448-nucleotide ribosomal RNA is filed under the name uncultured bacterium. RNAcentral describes it as "bacterial SSU rRNA". It matches the Rfam family "Bacterial small subunit ribosomal RNA", at positions 329 to 793 of the family's 1533-position model. The record is from RNAcentral.
UUCCAGACUCCUACGGGAGGCAGCAGUGGGGAAUAUUGCACAAUGGGGGAAACCCUGAUGCAGCGACGCCGCGUGAGUGAAGAAGUAUUUCGGUAUGUAAAGCUCUAUCAGCAGGGAAGAUAAUGACGGUACCUGACUAAGAAGCCCCGGCUAACUACGUGCCAGCAGCCGCGGUAAUACGUAGGGGGCAAGCGUUAUCCGGAUUUACUGGGUGUAAAGGGUGCGUAGGUGGCAUGGCAAGUCAGAAGUGAAAGCCCGGGGCUCAACCCCGCGGACUGCUUUUGAAACUGGCAGGCUGGAGUACAGGAGAGGUAAGCGGAAUUCCUAGUGUAGCGGUGAAAUGCGUAGAUAUUAGGAGGAACACCAGUGGCGAAGGCGGCUUACUGGACUGUAACUGACACUGAGGCACGAAAGCGUGGGGAGCAAACAGGAUUAGAUACCCGCGUAC